Molecule: long non-coding RNA, 947 nt
Organism: Cebus imitator (Panamanian white-faced capuchin)
Lineage: Eukaryota; Metazoa; Chordata; Mammalia; Primates; Cebidae
Exons: 3
Source: RefSeq, a predicted model, not a curated record
GCAUUCCAGGGAGGAGUGGGGAGAGCCGUGGGAUGGCCGGAGGCGGAGCUUCAGGGUAAACAAACGUGACGCGUGCGUACGAGGGCGGGGCGGGGGGGGCAGUUUCCCAGGAGGUUCCUGAGCCGGCCUCGGAGAGGGCGGUGAAGACAGGCGCGCGGUGCACUUUGGGGGUUGUGGUUCUCCUCCGGGUACCGGCAAUCCCGAGGGAACCAUGAUGGACUACAAGUCCCAGUGGUCCUUAGCCCCUGCCCCUCCUGGCCGCCGGCAGCUGGCCAUGGCCAGUGAGUAUUGUGCCCUCUGCCGUUGAACUCUGCUAGAGUUCUUAAUGAACGCGAAAGCUCUUGUUCAUUAACUUGUACUUUACCCACACUCAAGCUCGUCAGACGACGUUUCUUUUCCCUGCUAAUUAAAGAUGAGGGCUUUCAGAGACUCUAAACUGUACGUAGGACCCGGGUCCUGGUCCUCACCUCCGCCCAUUGUAUGAGAUAGAUACACACCCGCCACGCCGCAGGAUCACUGACAGCGAGUGGGCCAACCUCACUUUUUUCCCACUUUUUCAAGACCCAGGAAGACAGGCGGUGUCUGGGAAUUCUAAGUGAGGCUGUCGUUGAAUGUGCUUGGUGGAAGUCACAACCCUAAGACUGUCCUCUCCCUAUCCUGUAUUUGAAAAGGAAAAUGGCAAAGGACUGAGAUCUCAUUGAUCUUGAAUUCUGAAGUAGUUUAAUGAUGCGGAACGCACUGGAAAGUAGAAGAAACAUUAGAAUGGAGACAUGGUGGGAACAUCUUUUCAUCAAAAGACAUCACCAAGAGAGUGAAAAUGCAAGCCCCAGACCACUGGGAGACAACACUUUCUAUUCAGGAUAUGUGAAGAACUCCUACAAAUCACUAAGAAAGAAGCAGUCCCUUCAAUUAACAGACAGGGUCUUACUCUUUGCCCAGGCUGGAAU